RNAcentral lists this long non-coding RNA (260 nucleotides) under Lathyrus oleraceus (garden pea). RNAcentral's name for it is "Pisum sativum (pea) long non-coding RNA (PSAT_LNC009433)". The record is from RNAcentral. Lineage: Eukaryota; Viridiplantae; Streptophyta; Magnoliopsida; Fabales; Fabaceae.
AAUCAACAUUAAAGAAGAAUGUUAACCAAAAUUUGGUAUACUCUCUCUAUAUUGGUGUAAAGGAGGGGGGGUUUUUCACGUGAGAAUUUCACUAAGAGUGCAGUGAACAUUUAAACCUUUAAAAUUCUAUCUUUUAUAUUUUGAUUUUCUUUUUAAAUAUAUAGUUCAGAUUUUACAGCAGAAAUAUUUCACUAAAAAUGAUGUAUCUCAUUGGUAUAGGAACAGAGAAGUAAACAUUCUAACCUUUAAAAUUCUCUCUU